GAUGAACGCUGGCGGCGUGCUUAACACAUGCAAGUCGAACGGUGAAGCAGGAGCUUGCUCUUGUGGAUCAGUGGCGAACGGGUGAGUAACACGUGAGCAACCUGCCCCUGACUCUGGGAUAAGCGCUGGAAACGGCGUCUAAUACUGGAUAUGUGAUGUGACCGCAUGGUCUGCAUCUGGAAAGAAUUUCGGUUGGGGAUGGGCUCGCGGCCUAUCAGCUUGUUGGUGAGGUAAUGGCUCACCAAGGCGUCGACGGGUAGCCGGCCUGAGAGGGUGACCGGCCACACUGGGACUGAGACACGGCCCAGACUCCUACGGGAGGCAGCAGUGGGGAAUAUUGCACAAUGGGCGGAAGCCUGACGCAGCGACGCCGCGUGAGGGAUGAAGGCCUUCGGGUCGUAAACCUCUUUUGACUGGGAAGCACCCGCAAGGGUGGACGGUACCAGUAGAAUAAGCACCUGCUAACCAUGUGCCAGCCGCCGCGGUAA
This 488-nucleotide ribosomal RNA is filed under the name uncultured bacterium. Its description in RNAcentral is "partial 16S ribosomal RNA". It matches the Rfam family "Bacterial small subunit ribosomal RNA", at positions 28 to 523 of the family's 1533-position model. The record is from RNAcentral.